GUCACCAUGUGAUCGCCAGGAAGAGAGGAUGCAUAAGGCCUUCGUCCUCGAUAAGUUCUUAUAAAAUAUAUAGAUUAGUAGUUACAGUUGAUAAUUAAGACAGAGCUAGGAUAAGAAAUCCUAGUCAUUGGCCAGCAGCAUUGUACCUAAUAUAAGUCUCUCCUCCUUCAGCUGUGUGUGAUGGGCCCACAGAGUGACACUGGCAACCUUCACUGCUGUAUGGGGGAUGAGGACCACAAGAUGGGUUGGCUCCAGGCACUUGGUUGGGAUCCUCUUUACCCACACAAGGUCACCAAGCUGGAACUUGUGGGCAGGCAAGGACACAGCCUCUCAACCCAUCUGAUGAAUUGUCCUCUGGGUCUGUUGAAGAACAUGUAGGACCUGUAAAGACUUGAGGAGAGAAUGUGACCACAAGCAGCUUCUGCCUUGUUAGUGCCUGCUUGGAGGAGCCGAG
RNAcentral lists this long non-coding RNA (454 nucleotides) under Cricetulus griseus (Chinese hamster). RNAcentral describes it as "lncRNA (ENSCGRG00015038447.1)". Lineage: Eukaryota; Metazoa; Chordata; Mammalia; Rodentia; Cricetidae. The record is from RNAcentral.